This 76-nucleotide transfer RNA is filed under the name Deinococcus sp. QL22. RNAcentral's name for it is "tRNA-Ile". It matches the Rfam family "tRNA". Rfam says of the family: Transfer RNA (tRNA) molecules are approximately 80 nucleotides in length. Their secondary structure includes four short double-helical elements and three loops (D, anti-codon, and T loops). The record is from RNAcentral. Lineage: Bacteria; Thermotogati; Deinococcota; Deinococci; Deinococcales; Deinococcaceae.
GCACAGGUGGCGCAGCUGGUAGCGCAUCCGCCUGAUAUGCGGGAGGUCGUGGGUUCAACUCCCUCCCUGUGCACCA